GAUGAAGAACGUAGCGAAAUGCGAUACUUGGUGUGAAUUGCAGAAUCCCGUGAACCAUCGAGUCUUUGAACGCAAGUUGCGCCCGAAGCCAUUAGGCCGAGGGCACGUCUGCCUGGGCGUCACACAACGUUGCCCCCCCAAACCUCGACUUCCAAGAGGACGGGGGGCGGAUGCUGGCCUCCCGUGUGCCACGGCUCGCGGUUGGCCUAAAUGCGAGUACUCGGCGACGAGCGCCGCGGCAAUCGGUGGUUGCGAAACCUCGGUUGCCCGUCGUGUGCGGUCGUCGCGCAUCGAGGGCUCGAAAAAAUUGCCGGGCUCCGGCUCGGCUUUCAACGCGACCCCAGGUCAGGCGGGGUUACCCGCUGAAUUUAAGCAUAUCAAUAAGCGGAGGA
RNAcentral lists this unclassified non-coding RNA (392 nucleotides) under soil metagenome. Its description in RNAcentral is "partial contains 5.8S ribosomal RNA, internal transcribed spacer 2, and large subunit ribosomal RNA". The stretch from base 1 to 122 matches the Rfam family "5.8S ribosomal RNA", at positions 35 to 154 of the family's 154-position model. The record is from RNAcentral.